GAGAUCAUGUGGUCUUUUGUCUUUCUGUGCCUGCCUGAUUUUACUUAGCAUACUGUCUUCCAGGUUCAUUCAUGUUUCUUCCAAUGACUGAAUUUUCUUCUUUAUUUUUUGAGAUGGACUUUCACUCUUGUUGCUGACGCUGGAGUGCAAUGAUGCGAUCUUGGCUCACUGCAACCUCCGCCUCCUGGGAUGAAGGGAUUCUCCUGCCUCAGCCUCCUGAAUAUCUGGGAUUACAGGAGGAGUCGACGAGAGAAAAAGUGAGGCAAGGACGCAUGGAGAGUACGGCCAUAUAAACAAGCACAGCAGGCACCUUAUCACGUGCCCAGAACUGCGGGCGUGAUUAUUUAUAACAACUCCAAACUACUGUGAUCUCUGACUACAGAGUUCUCUUUCACGUAACUUGCACCUGUGACUUCUACCAGAUUUGACAAUUUGCUUGACUAUUCUGGUAAAAAUUUGGAUUCUUCCUUUGUCUUUUCACUUAUUUCCUGUUACUGAUCCAUCUCCAGCUCCUGGCCCUCGUCUUUAUCGUCUCUAUUGAAUACAUGUUCAUUCGUCCAUCUUCAUUUAAUUUUCAUUAUUGGUUUAUAGGUUGACUCCACUUCUGACCCUCAUUUGUACCUGCUAAUACCAUUCUGUCCAAGGUUCUAAGGUUGGGAUUCACUCUUGGCCAUAACUCUCCGGGCUACAUGUUCAAAUCCAUACCACUAUGGCAGCUUGACAUCUGCUUUAAAGAGGAAACUAGGAGAGGAUGAUUAUUUAGCUCAAAGGGAUAUGCCUGUUCCUUGGGUCCUUAAGAUCCAUUCCAAUUCUGAGGUCUUAUAUUAGAAUAGUGAAGAACAGGUAACAUGUGUAGCCUCAGUACAUCACCCAGUGAACAUUCAUUCUAAAAAUAAUGUAAGAGCUUACAGUUUUAGAACAUUUACAUAUUUUUUAAAAAAUGUGGAUCCACAUGACUUGCAGUUCUAUGUCAUGGAUGAGAAUGAGUCUCAGAGACCUUAGCUGAUUUACUCAAAGUCAACUGUAGUAGGAGGUGAAGACACCUUUGCACAUGAGCACAGAUAUUCUGUUUCCAAAGUUCUUUCUCCUCACAUUGAUCACAUGGAAACAUUUUAAGAGAAGUAAGAAAAGAGAUAUUUUGGAAGGCAGGAGGGUGAACCACUUCACAUAUUCCCUAAA
Molecule: long non-coding RNA, 1179 nt
Filed under: Callithrix jacchus (white-tufted-ear marmoset)
Lineage: Eukaryota; Metazoa; Chordata; Mammalia; Primates; Cebidae
Description: lncRNA (ENSCJAG00000072453.1)
Source: RNAcentral